This 541-nucleotide ribosomal RNA is filed under the name Russula sp. Its description in RNAcentral is "SSU rRNA". It matches the Rfam family "Bacterial small subunit ribosomal RNA", at positions 400 to 966 of the family's 1533-position model. Lineage: Eukaryota; Fungi; Basidiomycota; Agaricomycetes; Russulales; Russulaceae. The record is from RNAcentral.
CGUCAGUGACUAGCUAACUGAAAUCAAUUAAAAUUGAUAACAUAAGGGAAAAUAAUGAUAUUACCUUAUUAUUAGUGUCGUCCAAAACUGGUGCCAGAAGACUCGGUAAGGCCAGAGACACAAACGUUAAUCGUCUUAAUCAGGCGUAAAGGGUUUGUAGGCGGCUUUUAAUUUACUUAUAUAUAUUUAAAAAUAAGUUAAGAAUAAAAGCUAGAAUCAAAUAGAGGAUAUAUCAAAUAAUGCUUAGAGUAGGUCUGAUAUCCUUAGAUACUAAGUAGAAUAUUAAAGGCGAAAGCUUUUUUCCAUAAAUGAUUGACGCUCAGAAACGAAGGUGAGGAUAGAAAAUAGGAUUAGAUACCCAAAAUAUCCCUCUCUGUCAACGAUGAAUGGUAAUUAUUAAUAAUAAAUUUAUUAUUAAUGGCAAUGUUAACACGAUAACCAUUCCGCCUUGUGAGUACAACUGCAAAGUUGAAAACAAAAAAAUUAGUCGGUUUCGGAGCAAACGAAGUGAAGCAUGUUAUUUAUUGAAUUAAUCUCCGCG